Molecule: ribosomal RNA, 433 nt
Filed under: uncultured bacterium
Lineage: Bacteria
Description: partial 16S ribosomal RNA
Rfam family: Bacterial small subunit ribosomal RNA
Source: RNAcentral
CCUACGGGUGGCAGCAGUGAGGAAUAUUGGUCAAUGGGCGCAAGCCUGAACCAGCCAAGUUGCGUGAGGGAAGACGGCCCUACGGGUUGUAAACCUCUUUUGCCGGACUGAGAGUACCUGAACGAAAAGCAUCGGCUAACUCCUUGCCACCAGACGCGGUAAUACGGAGGAUGCGAGCGUUAUCCGGAUUUAUUGGGUUUAAGGGGUGCGUAGGCGGAAUGCUAAGUCAGCGGUAAAAUUGCGGGGCUCAACCUCGCUCCGCCGUUGAAACUGGCGUUCUUGAGUGGGCGAGAAGUAUGCGGAAUGCGUGGUGUAGCAGUGAAAUGCAUAGAUAUCACGCAGAACUCCGAUGGCGAAGGCAGCAUACCGGCGCCCAACUGACGCUGAAGCACGAAAGCGUGGGUAUCGAACAGGAUUAGAUACCCUUGUAGUC